AAGUCGUAACAAGGUUUCCGUAGGUGAACCUGCGGAAGGAUCAUUACCUAGAGUUGUAGGCUUUGCCUGCUAUCUCUUACCCAUGUCUUUUGAGUACCUUCGUUUCCUCGGCGGGUCCGCCCGCCGAUUGGACAAUUUAAACCAUUUGCAGUUGCAAUCAGCGUCUGAAAAAACUUAAUAGUUACAACUUUCAACAACGGAUCUCUUGGUUCUG
RNAcentral lists this unclassified non-coding RNA (214 nucleotides) under Didymella sp. RNAcentral describes it as "partial internal transcribed spacer region". The stretch from base 1 to 46 matches the Rfam family "Eukaryotic small subunit ribosomal RNA", at positions 1786 to 1831 of the family's 1831-position model. The record is from RNAcentral. Lineage: Eukaryota; Fungi; Ascomycota; Dothideomycetes; Pleosporales; Didymellaceae.